Molecule: long non-coding RNA, 527 nt
Organism: Arabidopsis thaliana (thale cress)
Lineage: Eukaryota; Viridiplantae; Streptophyta; Magnoliopsida; Brassicales; Brassicaceae
Product: other RNA
Exons: 1
Source: RefSeq
AGUGAUUGUUGAAAGAGAUAGAACAUCAAAAGUCAAACCUAGUCAUGUAUUAACAUAAUGCUCGAAACAGAAUGAAAAAUAUGCCACUAGCACAAUCUUACUCAAGCUACAAGCAAAUUCACAGCACAACACACACAUCUCCUCACUACCUUUCCAAGCAAAAAUUACGUAGAACUCGCCACAAGCACAAGCCCCCAUAACCAGUUGCUCUGCUUCCGUUUGUAAUGACAUGGUCAAUGUCAAUGGCUUCUCUAGUCGGCUUACUCUCACUUUCGUGUAUCUCAUAUUUGAAACAGACAAGCUCACCAUUCAAAAGCUUGUUUAGCUGAACAACACUCAAAUGUAUCACCGUCGCUUACUCCAACUCAUAUAGGAACCUACCUACCUAAUACUAGCUUCUCAAUAUCCAAGCAACAAUGCCGGAUGAUGGAGGAAGAAGAAGUGAGAUUGAUGGGAACUGUGUAGAAUCUUAGGCAUUGUCACAAUGGUUCCUUAAAUUCCUCUGUUUUGUGUGUUUGGAUUUGAGC